GACGAACGCUGGCGGCGUGCUUAACACAUGCAAGUCGUACGGUAAGGCCCUUUCGGGGGUACACGAGUGGCGAACGGGUGAGUAACACGUGCGUAACCUGCCCACAACUUUGGGAUAACGCUAGGAAACUGGUGCUAAUACUGGAUAUGUGCUCCUGCUGCAUGGUGGGGGUUGGAAAGCUCCGGCGGUUGUGGAUGGACUCGCGGCCUAUCGGCUUGUUGGUGGGGUAGUGGCCUACCAAGGCGGCGACGGGUAGCCGGCCUGAGAGGGUGACCGGCCACAUUGGGACUGAGAUACGGCCCAGACUCCUACGGGAGGCAGCAGUGGGGAAUAUUGCACAAUGGGCGCAAGCCUGAUGCAGCAACGCCGCGUGCGGGAUGACGGCCUUCGGGUUGUAAACCGCUUUCAGCAGGGACGAAGCUUUUUGUGACGGUACCUGCAGAAGAAGCACCGGCUAACUACGUG
RNAcentral lists this ribosomal RNA (465 nucleotides) under uncultured bacterium. Its description in RNAcentral is "partial 16S ribosomal RNA". It matches the Rfam family "Bacterial small subunit ribosomal RNA", at positions 28 to 507 of the family's 1533-position model. The record is from RNAcentral.